CCAAGCGGCUGCCCUGGGAGAGG
Molecule: microRNA, 23 nt
Filed under: Mus musculus (house mouse)
Lineage: Eukaryota; Metazoa; Chordata; Mammalia; Rodentia; Muridae
Description: mmu-miR-3067-3p
Source: miRBase by way of RNAcentral